RNAcentral lists this non-coding RNA (101 nucleotides) under Firmicutes bacterium CAG:227. RNAcentral's name for it is "SAM riboswitch aptamer (S box leader)". It matches the Rfam family "SAM riboswitch aptamer (S box leader)". From Rfam's summary of the family: The SAM riboswitch is found upstream of a number of genes which code for proteins involved in methionine or cysteine biosynthesis in Gram-positive bacteria. The SAM riboswitch acts at the level of transcription termination control. The predicted structure consists of a complex stem-loop region followed by a single stem loop terminator region. Lineage: Bacteria; Bacillati; Bacillota. The record is from Rfam by way of RNAcentral. RNAcentral also lists the same sequence under 1 other name.
CUUUUAUUCAGAGUGAUGGAGGUACAUAGGACCUGUGAAGUCACGGCAACCCCUUGAAAAAGGAAGGUGCCAGCCUGAGCGAGUAAGUCGAACAAUAAGAG